RNAcentral lists this long non-coding RNA (345 nucleotides) under Ficedula albicollis (Collared flycatcher). Its description in RNAcentral is "lncRNA (ENSFALG00000028979.1)". The record is from RNAcentral. Lineage: Eukaryota; Metazoa; Chordata; Aves; Passeriformes; Muscicapidae.
UAAAUCCUUUAAGCUUUUUUCUCCCCCUUAGCAAUACUUUCCAAAUCUGUUUAGUUAAAAGAAAACCUGAAAUAUGCUAUUUUGCAGAUGCUUGGGAGCCUGUUUUCUUCCUUCUGCCGUGGUAGAUCUGUUAACGUCAGUGACUACAGCUACAGGUUGCUUGUGCAGGUACUGAAAGUUUUGGGCCGGAGGUUUUCCUGUGCUCUCCGUAGCUGUUGCCCAGUGCUGCCCUGAGGAAAAGCAGCGUUGGGAAGGCAGGUGCUGCCCUGAGGAGCAGUGCUGGGAAGGCUGCUGCCCCUUUUCCUGCGGGGUGUCAGGGCGAGGCUCCUCACAAGGCCUGCAGUG